AAGCGGUGGAGCAUGUGGCUUAAUUCGAGGCUACGCGAAGAACCUUAUCCCGGGCUUGACAUGCACGGAUUAGCGCGGUGAAAGCCGCGUGACGCCUUCGGGUGGAACGUGCACAGGUGCUGCAUGGCUGUCGUCAGCUCGUGCCGUGAGGUGUUGGGUUAAGUCCCGUAACGAGCGAAACCCCUGCGACCAGUUGCCAGCAUUGAGUUGGGGACUCUGGUCGGACCGCCGGCGUCAAGCCGGAGGAAGGCGGGGACG
This 258-nucleotide ribosomal RNA is filed under the name uncultured Planctomycetota bacterium. RNAcentral's name for it is "uncultured planctomycete partial 16S ribosomal RNA". It matches the Rfam family "Bacterial small subunit ribosomal RNA", at positions 927 to 1181 of the family's 1533-position model. The record is from RNAcentral. Lineage: Bacteria; Pseudomonadati; Planctomycetota.